AAAUUGCUCUUGAUUAUACUGGUUGGAAUUCAAAAUUGAAAGCUAAUUCUUCUUCUUUAGCCAAAUCUGUUACUUCUUCUUUGUUUUCUACAUAAAUAGACAAAGAUGAAUGCUGAAUUAUUGCUCGAUCUGCCAGCUCUGUUGAUUUUGUUUGUUGUUGAGGUUAAAAUGUAAAAUUGAAAUCUGAUGAGUCUCCUUCUUCUCCUUUGAUGUGAACUUCUUCUCUUUGCUGAAUUGUUGCUGAGUAGUGAAAAUUAUGCAUUUGAUUUGGCCUGAAUCUAGAAAAUUGGAGGCUCCUGGAGUCGUUGAUGAUCGUUGAUUUGGCUGUGGUUACUGUUCUAAGGUCGUAUAAUGAGACUACAUUUUUAGUUAGUUAAAAUUAUCCUGUCACCAUCUUCAAUUAAGCUCUGUCAUAUAAGCUCUGGCCCUGUUAUUGUUUCUAGACUAAUAUGAUUUUCCCUUGAAUUCAUGAAACAGGUUUGGGAAGGAGAAGGAGUCAUAACUUAUGGCCAAAAACUAAUUGGAGCCACUGAUCUGCAGAAAUCUGCACCUGGAACUAUUGUUAAAUAUUGACUCUUAUUUAGGUCACAGACCCAGAUAACUCAUCACAGAGCAUUUAUGAAGCUUGGACUAGUUCUGGCAUCUCUCCUUUGGUAAGCAUAUUGCAACUGUCAAAAAAUUGGUAAAGUAGAAGCAUGCAAUUUACUAUGCUUUUAGUUUCAACAAAUUGGCCAGUGAUCAGUAUGUGAUUGAUUGAACUUUAAAAUAGUAGCAUAACUUGAACAUCUAUAUAUAAUCAUGAACUAUUUCUUUACAUGGAAAGAUUGGAAGAUUAGGUGGUGGAGGAUCAGAUUAUAAACCUUUUGUGCAGCAUGUGGGAAUUCUAUCAAUUGAUAUAGCCUUUGGAGGAGGUACAUAACACAUUAAUUUAAUCACUAAGAUUCGGAUGCGUUAAUAAUACUCUCUCUGCGUUAAUAAUAUUGACUCUUUGUGCCAGAAUUUCUUGUGCCAAAAAGGGAAGCAUCAGUGAGAAUUUCUUUGUGUCAGAAUUUCUUGUAUAUCAAGAAUGUUGUUGUAUCAUCAAACUUAACUCCUUGAGGCACCAAAUUUAAGAAAACAGUGGUUUUCUCUAGUUGAUGAUUUGCUGCAUUAGCUCCAACAAUGCGAACCUGGUUGCGACUCAACAAAAGACCGACUGCAAUUUCCUCAACUAGCUUGAAAACCAAAGGGAAGAACUUGUAUAUUGCAAUGCUGAUGUGGAGUUUAACUUGAAGUGGCCACACAACCACAAGGAGAUACAGGAGGUGUAUUUGUCAAUGGCUCUGAGCAAGUCACCAUCAUGCAAUCUAAAAGGAAUAGGAUCAAUAUAAAAUCUUGUUUGUUUAAAUU
Molecule: non-coding RNA, 1389 nt
Organism: Arachis ipaensis
Lineage: Eukaryota; Viridiplantae; Streptophyta; Magnoliopsida; Fabales; Fabaceae
Source: RefSeq, a predicted model, not a curated record